Lolium perenne is the source of this 4658-nucleotide non-coding RNA. The record is from RefSeq and is a predicted model, not a curated record. Lineage: Eukaryota; Viridiplantae; Streptophyta; Magnoliopsida; Poales; Poaceae.
AACAUCUCCACCGCUGGAUUAUUUUCUAAUCCCCUCUAGCUUAUUCUCUCUCAUCUUCUCCCCCAAUCCUCAUUGCUGCCGCCCUCCUCUUCCUCCUGGCCACUGUGCCGCCGGCAUGCCCCUCCUCUCCCUCUCAAAUUGGCUGGCGAUGGGGAGGACCUCUCCCUCCUAAGCCGGCUGGAGGCACGGAGGAGCAGCUGCACGCGGCCCUCUCCCUCCCGAGGUGGCUGGGGGCGCGGAAGAGGAGCAGCACGCGACCCUCUCCCUUCGGAGACCUAUGGCGACGCGGAGGAGGAGUUGGCCCCCCUCCUCUCCCUCCCUCCCGAGGUGGAUGGCGGCAUGGAGGAGGAUCAGGACCUCCUCCUCUCCCUCCCUCUCGAGGUGGAUGGCAGCGCAGAGGAGGAGUUGGACCCCCUUCUCUCCCUCCCGCCCAAGGCGGCUCGCUCGCCGACGAGCUGGAGAAGAAUGGGCAGCUCGGCCCGCCCCUGCGAUGGGUGACUCGCUCCCAAGUCAUCGUCCGUGAGAUGGAGGCGCCUCCACAUUUUCUUCAUCGUGUUCGUUGCCUACGGAUGCACUGCGGCGCCAGUUUUGGCCCUGCGGCCGGCACGCCGUGUCACCGCCUAUUGGGCCACGAAGCCAUGCCAGACAGCAAGGUGGUUCGCCCUGGUUUAUCUGUGCCGUCAUAUCUCCGCCGGCGUGCUACUUCACUCGAUGGCGGCGCUGCAUGGACCUUAUUCUUCGCUCCAUAGCGUCAUAAUCGCUUCUGGCAGUCUGCAGUCAUAUGAGUGUGCGUGGUGGUGGUCGCCUCCUUCUGUGUCACCUCCUCCACCGUCACGAUUCACAAGAUGUUGAUGUUGCCGUGUCUCACGUUCGUGAUGUCCAGCCCUUCCAGAAGUGCCUGUUCAGCAUGAUACGCCUCCAGGUUGUGGGCGAGGCCAUGGUCGUUUUGUUCAGUUUGUAGCUCCUCAUGUCCCGCCUGCGAUUGAGGUGCCUUUGCAUACAUAGGUCUCCUCGCCAUCGGAGGCCACCGCGCCACAUUUUCUGUCAUGGACUACGGUGAGUUGCUCCAACUCCAGCCCUUACAGGUUGUCAAUAGUUGCUUUGAGCGGGGAAAAUAGGGGCCAAAGAUGGGAAUUUAAUUUUGAUCUUGUGCUGGGAGGAAGUAUAUAUUCAGAUUUAGGUGAAUGCCAGAGCCUUUAGAUUUUGUCGGUAUGAAUUGAAAUGUUAUCAUUGUACAUGUUCGGGGUUGGAAUAUUACUGGUUGACUUUGUGAUAUAAUGAGAGAUCACAUUGGUGGUGUGACCAAAUGUUGGUUGAACAAAGAGAUGGCAGUGUGCACUAGGUGUUACUAUUGUUAGAUCAUCAUUUCUUGCUUUCUAGAUGUAGAAUGGAACUUAUGUGCUGCAUGUUUUUGACAUGCACCUCAUUGUGUUAUUGGUCUGUUGGAUUAGGCAUUGCCAAUAUUUCUACUUCUUCAUUCCAUGAUUCAGACAAGUUAAUAUGAUGCUGGUUGGCUAUAGUUUAGACUCUUUUUAUUGGUUGGCAGGUCGAUAUCAUUCGGAUUGAGUUCGUAUGUUUCUUUUGAUUUUGGAGGCAUAGCUGCAAGUAUGCACACUGUUAAGAGUUAGAGCAAUUUGUCGAUCUGCAAUCUAAUUGGCUGGCCUGACCUUUUGGUAAAUUGACAGUACUCAAUUGUCCGCCUCCGUAUUUACAUAAACUACUUGGAUUCAUAUAUCCAAUGGUGUUGGGAGUUGUAAGGAGAUUCUUGUAUUUCGAAUAUUUAUUUGGAACUGAAAGUUUGUUUUUAUAAUACAAGAAAUGGAGUUACAUGCUCCUCCAGAAAUAGAGUUUAUGCUUCUUCAAAGUGUUUACCCAUAAGUAAUUGGUUGCAAGCAUGAACAAGAAUUUGUAUGGGCGUUAUAAUGCAUAUUAGAGUUAUUUUGUAAUAAAUCAGGUCAUUAUUUGUCUUGAAUGAAAAUAUUUCUUAUUUCAGAUUCAUCUUAUAACUCAAAGGUACUGUCUUUUGGCAUGUUCAGUCAUCCUGAUUACAAAAUUUUCGCAUCUGAGGCUGAUUUGGUAUUAUCUUCCUAUUAUGCAAAGAUUCCUUGUGUGUAUUACAUAAUGUUUUUCAAAGUGGUGUGAUCAUCCGGUAAGAGUAACAACUGAAUUUAUGUUCUCAAGGUAUUCUUUCAUUGUUGUGUUCUUACUACUGUUUUCCAAUACUCCUCUAAGGAAAUUUCUGUUUGAAAAAAAAUGAUUUUUUUGUUCCAGCUGUUUUUUUAAUGGCAACAUGUAAGUAAAUACUAAAUACUACACAUCAUUUCCAUUUUUAUUUAUUUUAGAAACAAACAACUAUUUGGGAAAUGUACAUGGACAUGAAUAGUAAGUUAACAGUGUGAUACCAUUCAGCUGUAAUUAAGUCAUCUCUUAUUUUGCAUGUGUUAGACCAAGCUGCAUGUAAUGUUUUCUGUUUAGAAACUGCAGAUGUAUGAUCGGGUCAUCUAGAUAGGUAUUGCAGAUAUAGAUUUAGUUUUGUAAUAACUUAUUUGAUCUUGCCUUCCUAUUAUAAUUUUUUUCUCUGUCCAGCAAGAUUAAAAGUGACAUGAACAUUCUCCCCGCAGUUUAGUCUGCAGAAUAACAUAGACUGCGAGGAAUAUAUAGCUUGGGAGUUUUGAAGCCAAUGAAAAGGGGAUGACACAUGGUUUAAAUACUAAGAUACAUAUAUCUUGAGGGAAAUCGAUUAUUUAGUUACACAUGCUACCUCUUCUACCUGAAAAUGUACUUCUCAAAGUCAAAGGUUUAUAGUUCUUCUGCUUAGCAUAAACAUGGCUAGGAUCUUGUGAUCGUUUCAUUUUCUAUCUAUUUUCUAUAAAUGAUCUCGACUUUGCGGUUGUCGUUAGAUGGCAUAGCGAGGCCGAGGUCGACACUCAACACCUAAGAGACACAAGUUUCCAUACCAGUUCAUUUGCAUUCCUCCCUCUUCGUCGUUUCACAAUCGGUUUGUCUGGUACAUUGGAAUAAUGCUAUAUUAAUUUCAUUUUCAUUUCUGGUAGGCAAUUCUACAAGCACACGUAGGCACAAACUUUGAUGGUAUUGACCUGAAUCUUUACCAGCAAUCUUUAUCAUCCCACGACAACAUGAAGCCAGACUACUAAGCUCCACGGCGACAUGAACCGAAGUUGUUGAACAAUUUUUUGAUCAUUGGGAGACAACAUGAAGCUACACUACUGAGCGUGAACCUAACAAUUCUCAGUACUGCCAGGCAUUUGCUAGGCAGCCACGGAAAGUUUGGAGUCUAAUGACCCAACUGGACACAUCAGAUUUUAGUAACAAGAUAUGCCCAUCAUUUUCACAAAAUAAGGUAUGUCCAAUUUCCAUUCAUGCCACUAUUAGUAACAAAUCAGUAGUAACCUAGAGGACACAAAUGCUAAAAUUCAAGAAAGCUAAUGGGUCAGUCACAUCAAGAUGAUUGCAGUACAAUAUUGGUGGUGUGCAUUAUGCAAACAUGGAUUAAUAUAGAAGAAGCAAGUUUAUUGUCGUACAGAUUAUUUUUUAUAAGUACAUCAUAACACAAACCUGUCUUUCAAUAGGGUUAGAUACACUUGGAACUUCUGACUGUCUUUCUGAUACUAGCAUAAGUAUUUAGGACUGGUAACUUUGUUGGGGUUUUUUUAUUGUUGGAUUGUUAUUUUCUGUUCUCUAAGUUAAAUAUUUUGAAAAAAGGUACAAGAAAUUUAUGCAUUGAUACAACAUGAGCAUGACCAAUAGAUGCAUGUAUAGAUGGAAUGGUAAGGAGUGUUUGUACCAUUUAGACAAGAUUAUUUUUGAUCUUGCUUACGUACAAUAAGCUUGGUUGAGUAAUCUUGAUUUUUUCAGUCGAAUUUGAAUGAAUGGAAGAGUUAUCAAUUGACAAGCCUGGCCAAGCUAAUGAAAAUGUUGCAAUACUUGGGUUAUUGGUUUCACGGAAAUAGUUGAUUGGCAAUACACAAAGCACAAGUAAAGCAUCAGUAAAUGAGAUCUUUUCCUCUAUACCGGCAUACAUAAAAGUUGAACUUUGUGGCCAACUCUUAAACUAAUUUGCAUCACUGAUUCACGGCUGGGUUUCGUCGUUUCUCAUACUCUCUUGGUCAUACAGCGUUGGCUGCAUCUUAGAGAGGGUAGCUGGAGGUAUUUUCAACUUGGUAGCAACAGCCCGCAUAGGCAAUCAGCCUUGAUGUAAUGGAUGGGGACGGUUGCACCGACCUGGAGACAGGAAAAGGUAUAUAUCAAGAAGUACUGGAGAUAGGAAAAGGAGGCAUUUGGGCAUGCUGAUGCAAUUUUCUAGGGAAUGCAUAGAACAAAGAUUGAUAAUUUGGAAUCCAUUGCUGGAGCGGGGAUCAUGCUCAGGAAAUCAGUCGCAGAUUGCUGCAAAUGACAGUUGCAAACGUGCGGUGCUUAAGCUACCUACGGCAGCUGGUGUAUUUCCAGACAUGAUCUAUUCAGCUUAGAUUAGAUAACUGCUACACUAUAUGUGUUUUUUAAUAACAGUUGAUUCCAUGUUAUGCCAUCGUCAAUAGUUUUCUCAAUAGUUUUCUUUUUGUACAUCGUGUUGCCAUGUGUGGCUGUAACCAAUGUAGUGAAGACUAUCCUUUGUCUCAUAUAUCCUUAAUUAUUUCUAA